GAUGAACGCUAGCUACAGGCUUAACACAUGCAAGUCGAGGGGUAACGAGAGGAAAGCUUGCUUUCCUUGUCGACGACCGGCGCACGGGUGAGUAACGCGUAUCCAACCUGCCCCCAACUAGGGAAUAACCUUGCGAAAGUAAGACUAAUACCCUAUAAUUUCCUCAGAUGUCAUCUUACGAGGAAUGAAGAUUUAUCGGUUGUGGAUGGGGAUGCGUCUGAUUAGCUUGUUGGCGGGGUAACGGCCCACCAAGGCAACGAUCAGUAGGGGUCCUGAGAGGAAGGUCCCCCACAUUGGAACUGAGACACGGUCCAAACUCCUACGGGAGGCAGCAGUGAGGAAUAUUGGUCAAUGGGCGGAAGCCUGAACCAGCCAAGUAGCGUGCAGGAUGACGGCCCUAUGGGUUGUAAACUGCUUUUAUACAGGAAUAAAGUUAGCCACGUGUGGUUAUUUGUAGGUACUGUAUGAAUAAGGACCGGCUAAUUCCGUGCCAGCCGCCGCCGUAA
RNAcentral lists this ribosomal RNA (506 nucleotides) under uncultured bacterium. Its description in RNAcentral is "partial 16S ribosomal RNA". It matches the Rfam family "Bacterial small subunit ribosomal RNA", at positions 28 to 523 of the family's 1533-position model. The record is from RNAcentral.